UACGUAGGGUGCAAGCGUUAAUCGGAAUUACUGGGCGUAAAGCGUGCGCAGGCGGCUUUGCAAGACAGAUGUGAAAUCCCCGGGCUUAGCCUGGGAACUACAUUUGUGACUGCAUGGCUGGAGUGCGGCAGAGGGGGAUGGAAUUCCGCGUGUAGCAGUGAAAUGCGUAGAUAUGCGGAGGAACACCGAUGGCGAAGGCAAUCCCCUGGGCCUGCACUGACGCUCAUGCACGAAAGCGUGGGGAGCAAACAGG
RNAcentral lists this ribosomal RNA (253 nucleotides) under uncultured bacterium. RNAcentral describes it as "partial 16S ribosomal RNA". It matches the Rfam family "Bacterial small subunit ribosomal RNA", at positions 524 to 776 of the family's 1533-position model. The record is from RNAcentral.